AAAUCCGACGGUUGUGAUAUGGCGCGUGAAAAUAAGAGAAACUGAACCCAAUUAAAAGAAUGAGCUCCUGCGUUUCUCUCUCUUGGCUUGCGCUCUUUUCCAUGGCGGAAAUUUAACUUCUCAAAAUCAAUUGUUCCCCUAAUUUUGGUUCUCAGAUCGCGUAAUUUCAGAUGACAACAACUCCCCCAGCAUGAAGAUUCCUAAAUGUUCCAUUCUUCCAUUCCAUUCCAUGGUUGCUAGAGCAGAGGUGUCCUCGUCUGAUAUUCUGUUAAAUGGGGAUUUAAGAUUUUCAGAAUUUAUGUAUGUCGGGGACCUGUUUGUUGGUUUGUACGAGUUAGUACAACAGACGUAGGAGCUUCCGAGCUUAUCGCCUUAAAUUUGUGGUUGCUGCUACUGUUGGGCUUUCAAGGCUUUUUAGGCAGAUUUUUUGGCGUAAAUCACUUUUUGUUGUGAUGGACGAUGGUGGUUGCAGCAGGUGGGGGUGGACAAGAGGACGAGAAGAGUUAAAAGGAGAAGAAAGCGGUGAAGCUGACACCAAUUUAUCUAUAGAGUAGAUGCUUAAUGUACCCAAAGUUGAACAUUGAUGUAUCUGGCUCUAAGGUUUUAUGAACGUAGUUUCUUUACUUGUAAUUAGUUAUAGAUGAUCUUUUGCUCAGUUUUUUUGCAUUUUCUAUCUCCUCUUCAUUUCUCUGUUUUUUAAAGUUGAGAUGAUGUUGAUUAGGGUGUUACAAUCUCGGCUAAAGAAUAUUUACUCAUUUCAUUUUCUAUCUCCUCUUCA
Spinacia oleracea (spinach) is the source of this 778-nucleotide long non-coding RNA. RefSeq lists it as uncharacterized. Lineage: Eukaryota; Viridiplantae; Streptophyta; Magnoliopsida; Caryophyllales; Amaranthaceae. The record is from RefSeq and is a predicted model, not a curated record. The transcript is spliced from 3 exons.